Molecule: long non-coding RNA, 1718 nt
Organism: Monodelphis domestica (gray short-tailed opossum)
Lineage: Eukaryota; Metazoa; Chordata; Mammalia; Didelphimorphia; Didelphidae
Source: RefSeq, a predicted model, not a curated record
UUCGGUUCUUUACAUUCUUUGUGAUUUUCUUUUUUUUUUCCUUCCUUUUCUCUCUCUUUUAUUUUUUUUUUUUUUGAUUGUUGUUUUCCUGAGUUGUUGCAUGUUACUGUCCAUGAUUUGUUUGUGUAAGUAUUAAUAUGUUUUCCUUCACAGGAAGGGUUUUGUUCACUGUCCAACAUCUAAAUGUUUUUAUCUGUGUCAGACAGUAGAAGACCAUUCAUCCCUGUGGGAAGAUUGUGGAGUGAGUAAUGGAGAAAAACAAACAAACCCUGGCCCUGGAGUCAGAAGGCACAAGGUUUAUUGAGUCUUGGCUCCAGCCCUUAAGUGGUUGUGUGACUUUUGGCAAGGGAUUUCUUCCUGCUCUGUGCCUCAGUUUCCCUAUCUGUAAAAACGAAAAAGAUAGAAGUGGAUGAUUGAUUUCCAAGGUCUCUGCCACAGGUUAUGAAAUAGAAUUAUACAUGUGUGUUAUAGUCAUUAUACACACACAUAUGUGCUCUGAAUUGAUCUUACAUUCACAUUCUAAUGCAUAGCAAUUCUUACUUAAAAGCAAGGAGCCCAGAAUUGAAAUCUGGCUUCUGAUUUUAUUUACUUAUUAGUAGAUACAAACUCUUAGAAAUUUAGCAAAGGCACAGGCUCGGGGCAGCUAAGUGGCACAGGGGAAAGAGAAUCAGGCCUGGAAAAGAGAGGACCUGGGUUCAAAUGUGACCUCAAGACACUUCAUAGCUGUGUGACCAAGGGCAAAUCACUUCAGCUGAAUUACCUAAACCUUGCCCUUCUAUCUUAAGAGUUGUUACUAAAAGAGAAAGUAAGGGUUUAAAAGAAAAGAUGCAGACUUUCUGGCUACAAAGGAUCCAAAGCAAGAUAAAAAUGGUAUCCAAAGGAAUUAAAUAAGUUCUACCUCUCUUUUCCAUUCUAUUUAGUGCUUGGUUUGCCCCAGAAUUGCAGGCAAAGAAUUGCCAGGCGCAUUUACUUCCAGCCGGGGUUUUUGAGGGAGAGCAUCCUGGCCAAAUGGGUAGAGUGAGCAAAAUCUUUUUGGGUGAGGUCUAAUUUCCAAAAGCUGCCUGUGAGACUGCCCAUAAGAUUGCAUAUUCUAUCUCUGUAAAUCUUAGAGAGCAUUGCAUCAACCCACUUUGUUUUACAAAUGGAACGGAGCCCCAGAGAAGGAAAAUGACGUUUCAGUUUUUCAGUAUUUAGUGGCAAUGCAGAGACUAGAAUCCAAGGCUCCUUCCUUCUAGUCCUCUCUAUUUUCUGUUAUGCUCAACUGUCAUUUAGCAUCUUAAGAAUUGGAAAUUCUAUCAAGUCCUCAUUCUAGUUCCCUAUGGCCUUGGAAAAAAAUGUUUGGGGUGUGUUUUUUCCCCUGUCUCCUGAACUGUAGAGCUCUCUAUCUACACUCUGUGACUAUCAAUGGCUUAAAAUCUUUGAUGAAUAGAAAUUAAAGAGAGAGGUUACACUGAAGAGUCUAGGGUGGACCAACUUGUAUUUCCUGAGACGUGUUAAAUCCCAAAGAUUCAGUGAAUGGAGGGGUGUUUCCUCAGCAAAGCUCCCAGCCUCUCUCCGACUCGGUCUUUAAACACGUGCAAAGCCCCUGUGGAUUAAGCAUGGUGGCCAUGGAGGGAUGCCACGUCUGGAAAGCUGACAUCUUGCUGAUGACCCUGGCGAAGCUAGAGAGCCUAGAGUUUGCCCUAUGGGAUUUAAGAAAUAACAGUUGUUAUUCUUGA